AAUGAAUGGAGAAGAAGAAAAGGAGAAAAGAUAGAUUGUCAAUAGGAAGGAACAAAUAUAGAGGGGAUCGUCAUAAAAGAUAGGGCCAUGGGUAGAUUUAGAGAAGGAAGAGGACGAGGAGAAGAAGUGGAUGAGGAAAAAAGAGAAAAGAGAACAGACCAUCUAUGUUAGAGGAGGAGGAGAAAAAUGAUGAGGAGAAGAGGAAGGGCAUGAUAGA
RNAcentral lists this long non-coding RNA (217 nucleotides) under Elaeis guineensis (African oil palm). Its description in RNAcentral is "long non-coding RNA (EGUI_LNC000777)". The record is from RNAcentral. Lineage: Eukaryota; Viridiplantae; Streptophyta; Magnoliopsida; Arecales; Arecaceae.